This 148-nucleotide non-coding RNA is filed under the name Homo sapiens (human). The record is from Rfam by way of RNAcentral. Lineage: Eukaryota; Metazoa; Chordata; Mammalia; Primates; Hominidae.
GCUGGGCAUAGUGGCCUGUGCCUGUAAUCCCAGCUACUCAGGAGGCUGAGGCAGGAGAAUUGCUUGAGCCUGGGAGGUGGAGGUUGCAGUGAGCUGAAAUCACACCACUGCACUCCAGCCCAGGUGACAAAGCGAGACUCUGUUUCAA